Molecule: RNA transcript, 2808 nt
Organism: Acipenser ruthenus (sterlet)
Lineage: Eukaryota; Metazoa; Chordata; Actinopteri; Acipenseriformes; Acipenseridae
Gene name: forkhead box protein F2-like
Exons: 3
Source: RefSeq, a predicted model, not a curated record
UUUCUCGGAGGCAUAUAGGGGGUCUAAAGGAAAGAAAGAUUUACGAAUUGAUAGGUGGUCGAGUUUUGUUUGGCUGAGCAGCCUCUACGCGUUUCCUCUUCUUAAAGGAUUAAGACGAGUGAUGGCCACCAGGUGCUGUCUCAGAGAUACUGAACUGCUAUUGGAGUAAAAACGAAAUACUAACCGCACAGAAAAACAUCAUACUGCAGAACUAUAGGGGUAAACAUCGUGAGACGCAAAUAUAUUGCACUGGAGAGGAAGCUAGCGCUCGGCUAUUUCCUUUUUGAGAACUCAUCGCUCCUGGUUUAAAUUUUAUUAUUUGCAAGUCGGGCUGAACAGCGGAUGCUAUAUUUUCUUUUUGACUCUAGUGGAACAAAUGUCACCGUGUUCAAGGGUUGAUCAAAAAGCCGUUUUGUCUAUAGGAACCAUUAUUAAAACUCUUUUUUUGCCCCUGCUAGCUGUUUUUGCUAGCUAGGAAAUGACAACUGAAACUUCCCAGCAGCAGCUGGACUCACCAGCGCCUUUAAGAUCGAGCCCGAUUUCUGGAGUUCUUCAUUCAGCACCGAUGAACCAACAGUCCUCGGUAGUGGAGAGCGCAGCCUCCUCCAAAGGCAAAAAGGCGAAUGCAGGGCUCAGGCGCCCUGAAAAACCGCCGUAUUCCUACAUCGCCCUCAUUGUGAUGGCAAUUCAGAGCUCCCCAACAAAAAGGUUAACCCUCAGCGAGAUCUACCAGUUUCUUCAGGUAAGGUUUUCAUUCUUCAGAGGCGCUUACCAGGGAUGGAAGAAUUCGGUUCGCCACAAUCUGUCCUUGAACGAGUGCUUUAUAAAACUACCAAAGGGUCUAGGAAGACCGGGUAAAGGACACUACUGGACCAUUGACCCAGCCAGUGAAUUUAUGUUCGAGGAGGGAUCAUUCCGCCGCAGACCAAGAGGUUUCAGAAGAAAAUGCCAGGCUUUGAAACCAAUGUAUCGGAUGAUGAACGGCAUUGGUUUUGGCACUUCAAUAUUACCCCAAAGCUUUGAUUUCCAAGCUCCGUCUGCGUCACUGGCAUGCCAUACCAACAGCUACAACUUGGACAUGAUGACUAAUUCUAUGGCAGGAGGCUAUGAUGGACUCAGUGGUGGCCACCAUGUCCCUCAUAUGUCUUCCAGCCCCGGUUCAACUUACAUGGCCAGUUGUCCAGUAACUUCUAAUGGAGACUAUGGCCCUGAUAACAGCAGUAGUCCAGUACCUUCUUCCCCUGCAAUGGCUAGUGCAUUGGAAUGCCAUUCUCCAUAUGCAAGUACUUCUGCACACUGGGCAUCUUCAGGGGGGUCUCCUUAUAUCAAACAGCAGACACUGGCAUCUAGUAACCCUUCUUCAUCCACUUUACAUUCUAACAUGUCUUCCUACUCCCUGGAACAAAGCUACUUGCAUCAAAAUGCCAGAGAAACGGCAGAUAUUUCAGUGGGAAUACCUCGUUACCAAACCCAUUCGUCGCCAGUUUGUGAAAGGAAAGAUUUUGUUUUGAAUUUCAACGGGAUCUCCUCAUUCCACCCGUCAGCCACUGGCUCUUAUUAUCACCAUCACCACCACCACCACCACCACCAGAGCGUAUGCCAGGACAUAAAGCCCUGUGUGAGGUGAAUGCUCUAGCGCACCGCCGCAGACAGCUGUUCCACUGACUGCCUCAACAGGUUACGAAAAAAUUAGAAAUCUGUGCCGAAGAAAAAUGGAUGAAUAAAGACUAAUAGAACAUCAAUAAAUCACUCUUACUGACACUUUUACUAGAACGCGAACAGCCACUUUUUACUGUCAAUAUUACAAGGUGAAUGAACGUUUUAUUAGUAUCAUGUUUUCAAAACCCUGAAAACAUUCCUUUGACUAUUUUUGCAGCUGACAGUAGGCUAUUGGAUGACAAUAGACAAUGUGGCUAUUGCAGCUAAGUUCUUGUCUUUAAUCCUUAUUAUAUUAAUAGGAUUUAAAUUGUAUACACACCCCAAAAAAAACUAACAAAAAAACAACAACAACAUAGUCUACGUUUUUUAAUUUUUAUUUGUAUUUGCAAUAGUUCACAUUAAGAGUUUAAGGUAAUACAGUAUUAAGUACAGGUUAUGUUGAAGUUCAAGAACAGGAACCGCUAAAACUGUUUAACCGCCUGCAAACCACAAAAGUCAAUACAAUGUUAGGUAGCCAUUGAUAUUUUCUUUUCUAUAAUGUAUAUAGGCUUACUCGUUUUUUGAGGUAUAUAGAAUAUUUAGUUCCAGUUACAUUUUUGUGCAUGAAAUGUUGUGGAUGAAUAAGGGGAGGUAGAAGGGAUACAUGUAGGUUCACAUACUUUUUUUUUUUAAAUCAUUAAACAUUAACAUAUUUGCACUUAUUAUAUAGCUAAGUUUGCCACCAUAUUCUGAUGUAAAGUCUUUCAAUAAAAUAUCUAUGUUUAAAAUGUAUGUGUAGAAUUAAGCUAUGUAGAUUUACCUUAAGAAUAUGUUUAUUUUAACUAAUAUACAUUCUAGAGUGAUUUUUGAAACCAUCGGCUACCUUAUACAUAUAGACCAAUAUUAAACGAACAAAAAGCAAAGAAAAAAGACAUAUGUUAAUUCUUACCUGAAGGUCAGCGUUUAUAUUGUAAGAACAGUAACCCCAAUAUUACUAAAUCAACGCUGUUGUACAGGGCAGGUUAUCUGAGCUUUAGGCUACCAAAGAGCGCACAGUAAUGCUUGUUUGAAAAGUGUGUUCCGUGUAUGCCAUGUCUAUGUUGUUUAAUGAAGGGCAACCCACUUUUGGAUGAAUUAAUUUAACAGUAUUUUUUAAAAAGCAUGCUAAGA